RNAcentral lists this ribosomal RNA (435 nucleotides) under Seychellaxis souleyetianus. Its description in RNAcentral is "partial 16S ribosomal RNA". It matches the Rfam family "Archaeal large subunit ribosomal RNA", at positions 1921 to 2665 of the family's 2987-position model. The record is from RNAcentral. Lineage: Eukaryota; Metazoa; Mollusca; Gastropoda; Stylommatophora; Streptaxidae.
AGCUCAAAGCCUUCGAUUUUGAGUAAAACCUGCCCAAUGAUAGUUUUAUUUAAUGGCCGCAGUACCCUGACUGUGCAAAGGUAGCAUAAUCAAUUGUCUUUUAAUUGGAGACUAGAAUGAAGGGAUUAAUCUAGGUCUACCUUUCUAAGGAUUAUUAACUUGAAUUUAUAUGUUAGGUGCAAAUCCCUAACCUUUGAUAAAAGACGAGAAGACCCUAAGAAUUUUUAUAAGUGGUAGUACUUACUACUUUCUUUUUGUUGGGGCAACAGGGAAUAACUUUCCUAUAGUUAUAACACAAAACAAUUCUACUUUUAAUGGGAAAAUUACCUUAGGGAUAACAGCGUAAUUUCAUUUGAAGAUUGCGACCUCGAUGUUGGACUAGGGACCUUACAAUAAGAAGUUGGAAGGGAUUAUUCUGUUCGAAUACUAGACCCU